CCAUCCCUCUUAGGUUGCACUGGUCAGUUUAUUUCCCUAGACGUUCAGACAUGCAGGCUGUCCUGCUUGUAGGCAGGGGUCUUCAAGAGACACAGUGAGAAGUCAUGGUUUUUGUUUGUUUGUUUUUGCAGCCUGGCAGCCAGCCUCCGGAGUUAAUCGUACAUGCUGGCCUGCAAGGGUCGUUAUCAGGCUAGAAAGCAGGCACCACAAAGCUGCCUUUACUGGCAACUCAUGCAACUGUAAACUAGUGCCUGUAAGAUCCCCUAACAGGAAGUUCUAGCCUUACAAAGAUCGGGUGAUCAUCCAUCAGCCAGCGAGCGAGUCCUGGCAAUGGCCUAGGAGCAGGAGCGGCAUAGGCACUCUGAAGAAAGCGCUGUUAAGCUUUUCUGGUUCACGUCUAGUGAACCUGGAAGUCAUUGUGUAUCCCAGGCUGACCUGGAAUUCACAGAGAUCCUCCCUCUGGCUCUUGAGUGCCGGAAUUAAAAGUGUGAGUCACCAGGCCCACCAUAUACCACCGUAUAAGACCAUUUUUUUUUUUAACUCAUAACUUUUUAAAGAAGAAGAAGAGGAGAAGGAGACCUCUUCUUAGUGUGAAAACUGGCUUCUCGUGAUGUCUUUAAAGCAGUGGUUCAUUGGGAUAGUAUUUCAGAUGGUGUCUUGAGGCCUCCAAGGAUAUUGCAGACCCAAACUUCAUCUCACACUGAGCUGUCUGAGACAAACACAAUCCCAGCACUUGGAAGCUAGAAGCAGGCAGGUCAGAAUCUCAAGGUUAUCUUUGGCUACACAGCAAGUUUGAAAUUACCCUGAGGUACGUGAGAUCCGGUCUCAAAAAAAAAAAAGCCUUGAAACAAGGACUUUCUCCCAUCUGGAACCCUUGGAUGAAAGGCCAAGUUUAUGCCUGGACGGUCAUGCCCAAAAGCUUCUCUGAUAUCACAUUCUGCGGAUCCUGAAGGUCAGCCUAGCAUUUCAUAUGUGGAUGACUUCCUCUGGACUCCUUCACAGCAGCAUGUGAAGGUACUUUUGGCUGCCAAGGGCUGUAAGGUUUGGUUUUGUUUCUUUUGACACAGGAUUCCGUGGCUGUGCUGGACUCACUCUGUAGACCAGACUGGCCCCAAACUCACAGAGACCCACCUGCCCCUGCCUCCCCAAGUGCUGGGAUUACAGGCGAGCCUGGCUUGUUUUGUUUUCACUUGCAGUGCGCACUGUGGAGGCUGGCGUCUCACCUUGUAGUUCAGGGUAGCCUCAGACUUGCGAUCCUCCUGCCUUAGCGUCUUUGAUGCUGGGAAUAUAGUCACGAAUCACCACACCUGGAUUAAAAAGGGGAGCUUAGAGACACAGGUGAAAUGUAAAUUGUUGCGGUCGUUAUGGGACACAGAAUUAAGUUCCUCAAAAAGUGUAAACAGCAGCUGGGUGUGGUGGUGCCCGCCUUUAAUCCCCCCAGCACUUGGGAGUCAGAGGCAGGAGGAUCUCUGAGUUCGAGGCCAACCUGGUCUACACAGUGAGUCCAGGCAGGUAGCUCUGUGAGUUUCGAGCCAGUCAGGGCUACAUUAAAAGAUUUUAUCUAAAAUAAAUAAAAGAUUUAAAGUUC
This is a long non-coding RNA of Psammomys obesus (fat sand rat), 1588 nucleotides long. RefSeq lists it as uncharacterized. NCBI's taxonomy places the organism in Eukaryota, Metazoa, Chordata, Mammalia, Rodentia, Muridae. The transcript has 2 exons. The record is from RefSeq and is a predicted model, not a curated record.